GCUACGGGAGACAGUAGUGAGGAAUAUUGGUCACUGGGCGUAAGCCUGAACCAUCCAAGUCGCGUGAGGGAUGAAGGUUCUAUGGAUCGUAAAUCUCUUUUAUAAGGGAAUAAAGUGCGGGACGUGUCCCGUUUUGUAUGUACCUUAUGAAUAAGGAUCGGCUAACUCCGUGCCAGCAGCCGCGGUAAUACGGAGGAUCCUAUCUUUAUCCUGAUUUAGUGGGUUUAAGUGGUGCGUAGGCUGCCUUUGAAGUUAGCGGUGAAAGUCUGUGGCUCAACCAUAGAAUUGCCGUUGAAACUGGGAGGCUUGAGUAUGUUUGAGGAAGGCGGAAUGCGUGGUGUAGCGGGGAAAUGCUUAGAUAUCACGCAGAACCCCGAUUACGAAGGCAGCCUGCCAAGCCAUGACUGACGCUGAUGCACGAAAGCGUGGGGAUCAAACAGGAUUAGAUACCCCUGUAGUC
This 460-nucleotide ribosomal RNA is filed under the name uncultured bacterium. RNAcentral's name for it is "partial 16S ribosomal RNA". It matches the Rfam family "Bacterial small subunit ribosomal RNA", at positions 338 to 795 of the family's 1533-position model. The record is from RNAcentral.